GGCUCCGUGGCUCAACUGGAUAGAGCAGCCCCCUCCUAAGGGGCAGGUUACAGGUUCAAGUCCUGUCGGAGUCGCCA
Molecule: transfer RNA, 77 nt
Filed under: Gemmobacter sp.
Lineage: Bacteria; Pseudomonadati; Pseudomonadota; Alphaproteobacteria; Rhodobacterales; Paracoccaceae
Description: tRNA-Arg
Rfam family: tRNA
About the family: Transfer RNA (tRNA) molecules are approximately 80 nucleotides in length.
Source: RNAcentral